AUUGAACGCUGGCGGCAUGCCUUACACAUGCAAGUCGAACGGCAGCACGAUCAGGCUUUCCAGUUACAUGUCGCGAGUGGCGGGCGGGUGAAAUAUACAUCAGCAUCUACUUUUUCGGGGGGUAACUCGUCGAAAAACUAACUCUUACACCAUAUACGCCCAACGUGUGAAUGCGGGGGCGCAACGCCCCAUGCUCUAGUAGCUGCCGCGGUCUGAUUAGCUAGUUGGUGCGGUAAAGGCCCACCAAGGCGACGAUCAGUAGCUGGUCUGAGAGGAUGAUCAGCCACACUGGAACUGAGACACGGUCCAGACUCCUACGGGAGGCAGCAGUGGGGAAUAUUGGACAAUGGGCGAAAGCCUGAUCCAGCAAUGCCGCGUGUGUGAAGAAGGCCUUCGGGUUGUAAAGCCCUUUUGUUGGGAAAGAAAAGCAGCAGGUUAAUACCCCGCUGUUAUGACGGUACCCAAAGAAUAAGCACCGGCUAACUUCGUG
This 490-nucleotide ribosomal RNA is filed under the name uncultured bacterium. Its description in RNAcentral is "partial 16S ribosomal RNA". It matches the Rfam family "Bacterial small subunit ribosomal RNA", at positions 30 to 507 of the family's 1533-position model. The record is from RNAcentral.